Molecule: ribosomal RNA, 421 nt
Filed under: uncultured Glomeraceae
Lineage: Eukaryota; Fungi; Glomeromycota; Glomeromycetes; Glomerales; Glomeraceae
Description: SSU rRNA
Rfam family: Eukaryotic small subunit ribosomal RNA
Source: RNAcentral
GGGAGGUAGUGACAAUAAAUAACAAUACGGGGUCCUUUUGGGUCCUGUAAUUGGAAUGAGUACAAUUUAAAUACCUUAACGAGGAACAAUUGGAGGGCAAGUCUGGUGCCAGCAGCCGCGGUAGUUCCAGCUCCAAUAGCGUAUAUUAAAGUUGCUGCAGUUAAAAAGCUCGUAGUUGAAUUUCGGGACCAUCAUGUCGGUCGUGCCUCGGUACGUACUGGUAUUGUUGGUUUCUCCCUUCUGACGAACCAUGAUGUCAUUUAUUUGGUGUCGUGGGGAAUCAGGACUGUUACUUUGAAAAAUUAGAGUGUUUAAAGCAGGCUCACGCUUGAAUACAUUAGCAUGGAAUAAUGAAAUAGGACGUUUGAUUCUAUUUUGUUGGUUUCUAGGAUCGACGUAAUGAUUAAUAGGGAUAGUUGGG